This 259-nucleotide ribosomal RNA is filed under the name uncultured prokaryote. RNAcentral describes it as "partial 16S ribosomal RNA". It matches the Rfam family "Bacterial small subunit ribosomal RNA", at positions 524 to 782 of the family's 1533-position model. The record is from RNAcentral.
UACGUAGGGUGCGAGCGUUGUCCGGAAUUAUUGGGCGUAAAGAGCUUGUAGGCGGUCUGUCGCGUCUGCUGUGAAAAUCCGGGGCUCAACCCCGGACUUGCAGUGGGUACGGGCAGACUAGAGUGUGGUAGGGGAGACUGGAAUUCCUGGUGUAGCGGUGAAAUGCGCAGAUAUCAGGAGGAACACCGAUGGCGAAGGCAGGUCUCUGGGCCACUACUGACGCUGAGAAGCGAAAGCAUGGGGAGCGAACAGGAUUAGA